GAAAUCCCAUGUGAAGGGACAAAUUUGACGCAACCAAUUCACACUUAAAACCAGAUCACAACUUCCCAGUGGAAUAAUAUGAAGAUCCAUGUUUAAACUCAUCCCUUGGACAUAAACAAAGAAAUUAGAGCACAUCCUUCACCUUCAACGCGAUUCCCGUUAGCGACGUGCACCUCAAAUCGAGUACCCCACUCCGGCGGAAAAGCCAUUCGCUUAGCUACUCGUGAAUUGAUGAAACUAUGUAUAGCACCAGAGUCU
RNAcentral lists this long non-coding RNA (258 nucleotides) under Linum usitatissimum (flax). Its description in RNAcentral is "long non-coding RNA (LUSI_LNC006746)". Lineage: Eukaryota; Viridiplantae; Streptophyta; Magnoliopsida; Malpighiales; Linaceae. The record is from RNAcentral.